CGGCCGGCAAGAAUAAAGACAAAGUUCCCGACAAGAGGAACGACGACCUUGAUGAAAAGACUAAAAAGAGAAUUCAAAAGUCGGCUCUAACAACUCCGGCCGACAACGACAAGGAUGAAAAUGUUGAAAAGAGGAAGGACGCUCUUGAUGAAAAGACUGAAAAGAGCACUGACAAGUUAUUCGAGCUGACACUGACGGCUGUGACCUUCAUAGUUGGGCUUUCUAUUGAGGUGGUCGUCGUUUACACUUUGGACCAAUUCGUCAAACGCUUACCCGAGUAACUGCAGAACGGCUUUCUGAGGGCGCGCCUCGCACACAGCGCGGAACGAUCUCCUACUCGCAAGCAAAAGCCAGGAU
Long non-coding RNA from Dermacentor andersoni, 357 nucleotides. RefSeq lists it as uncharacterized. The record is from RefSeq and is a predicted model, not a curated record. NCBI's taxonomy places the organism in Eukaryota, Metazoa, Arthropoda, Arachnida, Ixodida, Ixodidae.